AGUGAACGCUGGCGGUAGGCCUAACACAUGCAAGUCGAACGGCAGCACAGUAAGAGCUUGCUCUUACGGGUGGCGAGUGGCGUACGGGUGAGGAAUACAUCGGAAUCUACUUUUUCGUGGGGGAUAACGUAGGGAAACUUACGCUAAUACCGCAUACGACCUACGGGUGAAAGCAGGGGAUCUUCUGACCUUGCGCGAUUGAAUGAGCCGAUGUCGGAUUAGCUAGUUGGCGGGGUAAAGGCCCACCAAGGCGACGAUCCGUAGCUGGUCUGAGAGGAUGAUCAGACACACUGGAACUGAGACACGGUCCAGACUCCUACGGGAGGCAGCAGUGGGGAAUAUUGGACAAUGGGCGCAAGCCUGAUCCAGCAAUACCGCGUGGGUGAAGAAGGCCUUCGGGUUGUAAAGCCCUUUUGUUGGGAAAGAAAAGCAGCAGGUUAAUACCGCGCUGUACUGACGGUACCGAAAGAAUAAGCACCGGCUAACUUCGUG
This 492-nucleotide ribosomal RNA is filed under the name uncultured bacterium. RNAcentral's name for it is "partial 16S ribosomal RNA". It matches the Rfam family "Bacterial small subunit ribosomal RNA", at positions 29 to 507 of the family's 1533-position model. The record is from RNAcentral.